Molecule: ribosomal RNA, 492 nt
Filed under: uncultured bacterium
Lineage: Bacteria
Description: partial 16S ribosomal RNA
Rfam family: Bacterial small subunit ribosomal RNA
Source: RNAcentral
AGUGAACGCUGGCGGUAGGCCUAACACAUGCAAGUCGAACGGCAGCACAGUAAGAGCUUGCUCUUACGGGUGGCGAGUGGCGGACGGGUGAGGAAUACAUCGGAAUCUACUUUUUCGUGGGGGAUAACGUAGGGAAACUUACGCUAGUACCGCAUACGACCUACGGGUGAAAGCAGGGGAUCUUCGGACCUUGCGCGAUUGAAUGAGCCGAUGUCGGAUUAGCUAGUUGGCGGGGUAAAGGCCCACCAAGGCGACGAUCCGUAGCUGGUCUGAGAGGGUGAUAAGCAAAACGGGAAAUGAGACACGGUCCAGACUCCGACGGGAGGAAGCAGUGGGGAAUAUUGGACAAUGGGGGCAAGCCUGAUCCAGCAAUACCGCGUGGGUGAAGAAGGCCUUCGGGUUGUAAAGCCCUUUUGUUGGGAAAGAAAAGCAGCAGGUUAAUACCCCGCUGUUCUGACGGUACCCAAAGAAUAAGCACCGGCUAACUUCGUG